UACGGGGGGAGCAAGCGUUGUUCGGAUUUACUGGGCGUAAAGGGCGCGUAGGCGGCCAGCACAAGUCAGUUGUGAAAUCUCCGAGCUUAACUCGGAAAGGUCAACUGAUACUGUGCGGCUAGAGUGCGGAAGGGGCAACUGGAAUUCUUGGUGUAGCGGUGAAAUGCGUAGAUAUCAAGAGGAACACCUGCGGCGAAGGCGGGUUGCUGGGCCGACACUGACGCUGAGGCGCGAAAGCUAGGGGAGCGAACAGG
Molecule: ribosomal RNA, 254 nt
Filed under: uncultured bacterium
Lineage: Bacteria
Description: partial 16S ribosomal RNA
Rfam family: Bacterial small subunit ribosomal RNA
Source: RNAcentral